AGCUUUGUGCAGUGGCAAUAUCGUAGCCAAUGAGGUGUAACUGAGGCGCGAUUAUUGCUAAUUGAAAACUUUUCCCAAAAGAUUUUGCCUUAAAACAAAUUUUAGAAAGGCACUCUUGAC
This 120-nucleotide small nuclear RNA is filed under the name Echinops telfairi (small Madagascar hedgehog). RNAcentral's name for it is "U4 spliceosomal RNA (ENSETEG00000020442.1)". It matches the Rfam family "U4 spliceosomal RNA". From Rfam's summary of the family: U4 small nuclear RNA (U4 snRNA) is a component of the major U2-dependent spliceosome. The structure of U4 snRNA from yeast and human has been reported. U4 snRNA presents a k-turn RNA motif in the 5p-SL related to recognition of Snu13 protein. The record is from RNAcentral. Lineage: Eukaryota; Metazoa; Chordata; Mammalia; Afrosoricida; Tenrecidae.